Molecule: ribosomal RNA, 641 nt
Filed under: Plectroglyphidodon obreptus (western gregory)
Lineage: Eukaryota; Metazoa; Chordata; Actinopteri; Pomacentridae
Description: partial 12S ribosomal RNA
Rfam family: Bacterial small subunit ribosomal RNA
Source: RNAcentral
ACAAACUAAAGUCGAACGCCCUCAGGACUGUUAUCCGUUUCCGAAGUCAGAAGCUCUAUCACGAAAGUAACUUUAUUUUUUCCUGACCCCACGAAAGCUGUGGUACAAACUGGGAUUAGAUACCCCACUAUGCUCAGCCUUAAACUUUGAUAGUCCACUACAACCCCUAUCCGCCCGGGAAACUACAGGCACCAGCUUAAAACCCAAAGGACUUGGCGGUGCUUUAGACCCACCUAGAGGAGCCUGUUCUAGAACCGAUAAUCCCCGUUAAACCUCACCCUCUUUUGCUCUUUCCCGUCUAUAUACCGCCGUCGUCAGCCUACCCUGUGAAGGUCGAGUAGUAAGCGAAAUUGGUACAACCCUAAACGCCAGGUCGAGGUGUAGCGGAUGAGAGGGGAAGAAAUGGGCUACAUUUCCUAAUACAGGAAACACGGAGAAAUACACUGAAACGAGUAUUUGAAGGAGGUCUAGCAGUAAGUAAAAAACAGAGUGUUUUACUGAAACUGGCCCUGAAGCGCGCACACACCGCCCGUCACUCUCCCCAAACUACCUAAAAAUAUAUUACCCCACGAAGGGGAGGCACGUCGUUUCAUGGUAAGUGUACCGGAAGGUGUACUUGGAUAAAUCAGGGCUUAGCUAAA